RNAcentral lists this transfer RNA (115 nucleotides) under Treponema sp. RNAcentral describes it as "tRNA-OTHER". The record is from RNAcentral. Lineage: Bacteria; Pseudomonadati; Spirochaetota; Spirochaetia; Treponematales; Treponemataceae.
GGGGCGGAUGGCACGAGAAGUGUCGGCAAGGGUGUGUGCUUGUCGGCGUUUUUGAAUCUGGUGCACAAGGUUCAAGUGUAAAUCGUCUAUGGUGGUUCAAAUCCAUCCCGCCCCA